UCCGAGUUCUCCCCGGCAGUCCCCCACGAGUCCCCGGCAUAACCCGCUGGCAACAUGGGGCAAGGGUUGCGCUCGUUGCGGGACUUAACCCAACAUCUCACGACACGAGCUGACGACAGCCAUGCAGCACCUGUCACCGACCAAUUGAAGAGCUCCGUCUCCGGAGCCCCGAUCGGGAAGUCAAGGGCUGGUAAGGUUCUUCGCGUUGCAUCGAAUUAAACCACAUCAUCCACCGCUUGUGCGGGCCCCCGUCAAUUCCUUUGAGUUUCAGCCUUGCGGCCGUACUCCCCAGGCGGGGCACUUCAUGCGUUUGCGUCGGCCCCCAGGGGGUCGCUCCCCCAGAGACCUAGUGCCCAUCGUUUACGGCGUGGACUAC
This 376-nucleotide unclassified non-coding RNA is filed under the name uncultured bacterium. RNAcentral describes it as "contains 16S-23S intergenic spacer region". The record is from RNAcentral.